GAUGAAGAACGCAGCGAAAUGCGAUAAGUAAUGUGAAUUGCAGAAUUCAGUGAAUCAUCGAAUCUUUGAACGCACAUUGCGCCCCUUGGUAUUCCGGGGGGCAUGCCUGUUCGAGCGUCAUUAUAACCCCUCAAGCUCAGCUUGGUGUUGGGGCCUGCCAACUGGCAGCCCUUAAAAUCAGUGGCGGCGCCAUCUGGCUCUAAGCGUAGUAAUUUCUCUCGCUAUAGGGUCCCGGUGGAUGCUGGCCAGCAACCCACAAUUUUCUAUGGUUGACCUCGGAUCAGGUAGGGAUACCCGCUGAACUUAAGCAUAUCAAUAAGCGGAGGA
RNAcentral lists this unclassified non-coding RNA (327 nucleotides) under soil metagenome. RNAcentral's name for it is "partial contains 5.8S ribosomal RNA, internal transcribed spacer 2, and large subunit ribosomal RNA". The stretch from base 1 to 120 matches the Rfam family "5.8S ribosomal RNA", at positions 35 to 154 of the family's 154-position model. The record is from RNAcentral.